RNAcentral lists this ribosomal RNA (2763 nucleotides) under Escherichia coli. RNAcentral describes it as "bacterial LSU rRNA". It matches the Rfam family "Bacterial large subunit ribosomal RNA". Lineage: Bacteria; Pseudomonadati; Pseudomonadota; Gammaproteobacteria; Enterobacterales; Enterobacteriaceae. The record is from RNAcentral.
ACUAAGCGUACACGGUGGAUGCCCUGGCAGUCAGAGGCGAUGAAGGACGUGCUAAUCUGCGAUAAGCGUCGGUAAGGUGAUAUGAACCGUUAUAACNCACACUAUCAUUAACUGAAUCCAUAGGUUAAUGAGGCGAACCGGGGGAACUGAAACAUCUAAGUACCCCGAGGAAAAGAAAUCAACCGAGAUUCCCCCAGUAGCGGCGAGCGAACGGGGAGCAGCCCAGAGCCUGAAUCAGUGUGUGUGUUAGUGGAAGCGUCUGGAAAGGCGCGCGAUACAGGGUGACAGCCCCGUACACAAAAAUGCACAUACUGUGAGCUCGAUGAGUAGGGCGGGACACGUGGUAUCCUGUCUGAAUAUGGGGGGACCAUCCUCCAAGGCUAAAUACUCCUGACUGACCGAUAGUGAACCAGUACCGUGAGGGAAAGGCGAAAAGAACCCCGGCGAGGGGAGUGAAAAAGAACCUGAAACCGUGUACGUACAAGCAGUGGGAGCNGUGACUGCGUACCUUUUGUAUAAUGGGUCAGCGACUUAUAUUCUGUAGCAAGGUUAACCGAAUAGGGGAGCCGAAGGGAAACCGAGUCUUAACCGGGCGUUAAGUUGCAGGGUAUAGACCCGAAACCCGGUGAUCUAGCCAUGGGCAGGUUGAAGGUUGGGUAACACUAACUGGAGGACCGAACCGACUAAUGUUGAAAAAUUAGCGGAUGACUUGUGGCUGGGGGUGAAAGGCCAAUCAAACCGGGAGAUAGCUGGUUCUCCCCGAAAGCUAUUUAGGUAGCGCCUCGUGAAUUCAUCUCCGGGGGUAGAGCACUGUUUCGGCAAGGGGGUCAUCCCGACUUACCAACCCGAUGCAAACUGCGAAUACCGGAGAAUGUUAUCACGGGAGACACACGGCGGGCGCUAACGUCCGUCGUGAAGAGGGAAACAACCCAGACCGCCAGCUAAGGUCCCAAAGUCAUGGUUAAGUGGGAAACGAUGUGGGAAGGCCCAGACAGCCAGGAUGUUGGCUUAGAAGCAGCCAUCAUUUAAAGAAAGCGUAAUAGCUCACUGGUCGAGUCGGCCUGCGCGGAAGAUGUAACGGGGCUAAACNAUGCUGGAGGUAUCAGAAGUGCGAAUGCUGACAUAAGUAACGAUAAAGCGGGUGAAAAGCCCGCUCGCCGGAAGACCAAGGGUUCCUGUCCAACGUUAAUCGGGGCAGGGUGAGUCGACCCCUAAGGCGAGGCCGAAAGGCGUAGUCGAUGGGAAACAGGUUAAUAUUCCUGUACUUGGUGUUACUGCGAAGGGGGGACGGAGAAGGCUAUGUUGGCCGGGCGACGGUUGUCCCGGUUUAAGCGUGUAGGCUGGUUUUCCAGGCAAAUCCGGAAAAUCAAGGCUGAGGCGUGAUGACGAGGCACUACGGUGCUGAAGCAACAAAUGCCCUGCUUCCAGGAAAAGCCUCUAAGCAUCAGGUAACAUCAAAUCGUACCCCAAACCGACACAGGUGGUCAGGUAGAGAAUACCAAGGCGUUUGAGAGAACUCGGGUGAAGGAACUAGGCAAAAUGGUGCCGUAACUUCGGGAGAAGGCACGCUGAUAUGUAGGUGAAGUCCCUCGCGGAUGGAGCUGAAAUCAGUCGAAGAUACCAGCUGGCUGCAACUGUUUAUUAAAAACACAGCACUGUGCAAACACGAAAGUGGACGUAUACGGUGUGACGCCUGCCCGGUGCCGGAAGGUUAAUUGAUGGGGUCAGCGCAAGCGAAGCUCUUGAUCGAAGCCCCGGUAAACGGCGGCCGUAACUAUAACGGUCCUAAGGUAGCGAAAUUCCUUGUCGGGUAAGUUCCGACCUGCACGAAUGGCGUAAUGAUGGCCAGGCUGUCUCCACCCGAGACUCAGUGAAAUUGAACUCGCUGUGAAGAUGCAGUGUACCCGCGGCAAGACGGAAAGACCCCGUGAACCUUUACUAUAGCUUGACACUGAACAUUGAGCCUUGAUGUGUAGGAUAGGUGGGAGGCUUUGAAGUGUGGACGCCAGUCUGCAUGGAGCCGACCUUGAAAUACCACCCUUUAAUGUUUGAUGUUCUAACGUGGACCCGUGAUCCGGGUUGCGGACAGUGUCUGGUGGGUAGUUUGACUGGGGCGGUCUCCUCCUAAAGAGUAACGGAGGAGCACGAAGGUUGGCUAAUCCUGGUCGGACAUCAGGAGGUUAGUGCAAUGGCAUAAGCCAGCUUGACUGCGAGCGUGACGGCGCGAGCAGGUGCGAAAGCAGGUCAUAGUGAUCCGGUGGUUCUGAAUGGAAGGGCCAUCGCUCAACGGAUAAAAGGUACUCCGGGGAUAACAGGCUGAUACCGCCCAAGAGUUCAUAUCGACGGCGGUGUUUGGCACCUCGAUGUCGGCUCAUCACAUCCUGGGGCUGAAGUAGGUCCCAAGGGUAUGGCUGUUCGCCAUUUAAAGUGGUACGCGAGCUGGGUUUAGAACGUCGUGAGACAGUUCGGUCCCUAUCUGCCGUGGGCGCUGGAGAACUGAGGGGGGCUGCUCCUAGUACGAGAGGACCGGAGUGGACGCAUCACUGGUGUUCGGGUUGUCAUGCCAAUGGCACUGCCCGGUAGCUAAAUGCGGAAGAGAUAAGUGCUGAAAGCAUCUAAGCACGAAACUUGCCCCGAGAUGAGUUCUCCCUGACCCUUUAAGGGUCCUGAAGGAACGUUGAAGACGACGACGUUGAUAGGCCGGGUGUGUAAGCGCAGCGAUGCGUUGAGCUAACCGGUACUAAUGAACCGUGAGGCUUAACC